Molecule: ribosomal RNA, 465 nt
Filed under: uncultured bacterium
Lineage: Bacteria
Description: partial 16S ribosomal RNA
Rfam family: Bacterial small subunit ribosomal RNA
Source: RNAcentral
GACGAACGCUGGCGGCGUGCUUAACACAUGCAAGUCGAACGGAAAGGCCCCUUUGGGGGUACUCGAGUGGCGAACGGGUGAGGAACACGGGAGUAACCUGCCCCUGACUUGGGGAUAACUUCAGGAAACUGGGGCUAAUACCGGAAAGGAAUCUUUUCUGCAUGGUGGGGGUUGGAAAGCUUCGUCGGUUUUGGAUGGACACGCGGCUUCUCAGCUUGUUGGUGGGGGAGUGGCUUACCAAGGCUUUGGCGGGUAGCCGGCCUGAGAGGGCGACCGGCCACAUUGGGACUGAGACACGGCCCAGACUCCUACGGGAGGCGGCAGUGGGGGAUGUUGCUCAAUGGGCGGAAGCCUGAUGCAGCAACGCCGCGGGCGCGAGGACGGACUUCGGGUUGUAAACCGCUUUCAGCAGGGGCGAAGCUUGUGGUGACGGUACCUGCAGAAGAAGCACCGGCUAACUACGUG